This is a long non-coding RNA of Alligator mississippiensis (American alligator), 1765 nucleotides long. RefSeq lists it as uncharacterized. NCBI's taxonomy places the organism in Eukaryota, Metazoa, Chordata, Crocodylia, Alligatoridae. The record is from RefSeq and is a predicted model, not a curated record. The transcript has 2 exons.
AAAAGCCCGGGAAGGGCCCUGAGCUGGGAUUGGUGGAGAGGCUUGCAUAAAAGGGGGAGCAGUUUUUCCUGGGGGGAAUGAGAGAGAGGGGCUGAGGGACAGGCUGGAUUCAGGGUCUCAGCGCAGCGGUCCCUUGGAGAGCGCCUGAGAGAGGCCUGCAGGAGCAGAGUGGAGAAGCUACAUGGUAGGAACAGGCAGGGACUGCUGGUGUGGAGAGUCCAAGCCUGGAGAGACCUGACUGCAGCCAGUGUGGCUGGGUGAGCACAGCAGAGCCGGGGGAACGGGGGACUGCCGGAGUCUGCCCUAGUUUCCCUGAGGGGUGAGGGGCUCCAGGGGCAGGCAAAGCCCAGGAGCGGCUGCAUUUGCUGGGGCUGUGAGGCUGUGCGGGGCAAGACGGUUGCUACAGCCUGCAGCCCAGACACUGCUCCUAGCAGAACCAGGGAAGGGGGUCAAAGGCAGGGGAAGGCCGUCUUGCAGGAACUGCAGAGGAGUCGCUGCUUGCUGCCCGGAGACCCCAGGAGUACGGAGACGGACACCAGUGUCAGGGAGCAUCCACAGACCACGUGCAGGGACACAGACAGUUCCGCUCGCUGAGAUACCCCACCAGGGGCAGUGCACACGGGAUCCCCAGGACACCGUGUGCAAGUGAGAUACUGUAUUGGUAACCCACCGUUAUCACACCCAAGCUGUGUAUCUUCCAUCUACUGUAAGAAAACAAAUUGACUCUCAUUUGAAGCAGAAAGUCAUCAGCUGUAGUGGGCAGUUAAAUACUAACAACAUCAGCCCUUGUGUUUGGGAUGAGUUGAAUGAUGGGGUAAUGUUGUGUAUUUCAACAAGAAGAGUCCUGCGCACAUCCAUCCUGGAUGCUAGAAAGGAAUGGGAGCCAUCGUGCAUCAAACAUAGGCACUUCCUUUGCAACUGUCUGUGCACAAAUUACAUGCAUGCUUUACUUCUACCAUUGAGUUAAUGACUACCUACAUCUGGUAGGACUCUUUGGCUAUAACAAAUAAUAAGAAUAGGCAAGAUCAAGUUUCUAUGUCCUGGGAUUGUCUUUCCUUAUCAGUGCACCUUCCUUCCCUUUGCUGAGUGCCCAGGUUAGCAAAGCUGUAUGGCUAGUAGACGCUUCCUGUGUCACACCUGCACUUUGGUGCCCCUAUUUCUGCCUUGUGUAUUUUUUUUCUAUGCCUUCUUAGCCCACUGACUCCAGUUACUUCAUGGCAACAUAUCUUGAGCCAGCUGCAAACAUUCCCUGGUAACAAGCAAAACUGUGUAUGAGAUUGAGGGAGAGUUUUGUGAUGGAGAUGUUUUGUUCCUCACUUGCUAUGUCAAAGUGUAUCUGACAGUUAAGCCAUGUCCUUGCAAUUAACUGUUUUUUAUCUUGAGGGAUUAGCCUGUUGGCCAACAAGGUUUCUUUCCUACCCCUAUAUUCCAUUUACAACUUAUUUGCAGUUAGGCUCACUCCUCUUAGGGCUUUCUGAACCUCUGAAUGCCCGAGUGGUGACAUCACUGCAGCCAGCGGGUGGAUAUGUGUUAUCAGGAGGAAGUUUUGCUUCCAACCCAUUCUGGAAAAGAAGAAUACAACGCGUUCAAAAGCAAAGCUGGCUGUAUUGAUUUGUUUCCAGACUCGGGAUUGCUUCUGAGUACAGAUCUUGGCCUUUAGUAGCCAGAUUGAGGAAGGUGCUUUUACUUCUAUCAUACUUGUACUUAUUAUGUUUAAUGGCAUUGGAUGAAGGCAAUAAACAAACAGAAAAUAAACUUAAAAAUA